This 156-nucleotide ribosomal RNA is filed under the name Pseudoalteromonas rubra. Its description in RNAcentral is "partial 23S ribosomal RNA". Lineage: Bacteria; Pseudomonadati; Pseudomonadota; Gammaproteobacteria; Alteromonadales; Pseudoalteromonadaceae. The record is from RNAcentral.
AAGAGCGCGGGAUUUUCAAACAAGGUUGCACGGUUUUUUUGACCCGUAUCGCAGUGUACAUUCAAAGUACAUGAGAAACGGAAGCAAAAAAAGCGAUGCAAGAUUGACAGAAAAUACAAGCGGAAGAUAUUUCGGGAUGGGUGACUGCGUACCUUU